UUUCGCAAUGCCCGAAAGGGUGACGAAGCGACGCCGCGUGAGUGAGGAAGGCCUUCGGGUUGUAAAGCUCUGUCAGGAGUUAAGAAAUAUAAGUGUGUUAAUACCACAUUUAUUUGACGAAGGCUCCAAAGGAAGCCACGGCUAACUCUGUGCCAGCAGCCGCGGUAAUACAGAGGUGGCAAGCGUUGUUCGGAAUUAUUGGGCGUAAAGAGCACGUAGGUGGGUUUGUAAGUCAGAUGUGAAAGCCUUCUGUUCAACGGAAGAAUUGCAUCUGAAACUGCGAGUCUUGAGUGUAGGAGGGGAGAAUGGAACUUCUGGUGGAGCGGUGAAAUGCGUAGAUAUCAGAAGGAACGCCGGCGGCGAAAGCGAUUCUCUGGCCUAUUACUGACACUCAGUGUGCGAAAGCUAGGGGAGCAAACGGGAUUAGAUACCCCGGUAGUCCUAGCUGUAAACGAUGGGCACUAAGUAGAGGGGUUUU
This 478-nucleotide ribosomal RNA is filed under the name uncultured anaerobic ammonium-oxidizing bacterium. RNAcentral's name for it is "bacterial SSU rRNA". It matches the Rfam family "Bacterial small subunit ribosomal RNA", at positions 364 to 832 of the family's 1533-position model. The record is from RNAcentral.